Micropterus dolomieu (smallmouth bass) is the source of this 198-nucleotide long non-coding RNA. RefSeq lists it as uncharacterized. Lineage: Eukaryota; Metazoa; Chordata; Actinopteri; Centrarchiformes; Centrarchidae. The record is from RefSeq and is a predicted model, not a curated record. The transcript has 2 exons.
UGGGGGUGAAAGACAGGCAGGCAGGGUGUAACACAGGAACAUGUAAAGUGUGUGAUGAAGAGAAAAAAAGCAAGAAGACUCAGGACAGGAUGUCACAUCACCAACUCCAUCUUUUCUGCAGACAUGAAGAAGGGAAAAAAGAAAAGAAAGAGUGAUGGAAAUGUAAUUUUAAACAGCUGAUGGAUUAAGCCAACCUUA